RNAcentral lists this ribosomal RNA (459 nucleotides) under uncultured bacterium. RNAcentral describes it as "partial 16S ribosomal RNA". It matches the Rfam family "Bacterial small subunit ribosomal RNA", at positions 338 to 795 of the family's 1533-position model. The record is from RNAcentral.
CCUACGGGAGGCAGCAGUGAGGAAUAUUGGUCAAUGGGCGCGAGCCUGAACCAGCCAAGUCGCGUGAGGGAAGACGGUCCUAUGGAUUGUAAACCUCUUUUGUCGGGGAGCAAAAUACGCCACGCGUGGCGUUCCGAGAGUACCCGAAGAAAAAGCAUCGGCUAACUCCGUGCCAGCAGCCGCGGUAAUACGUAGGUGGCGAGCGUUAUCCGGAAUGAUUGGGUGUAGAGGGUACGUAGGCGGCUGGCUAAGUCUGGGGUGAAAUUUACCGGCUCAACCGAUACACGCUGUGGAAACUGGCUGGCUAGAGUGAGAGAGAGGGAGGCGGAAUUCGAGGUGUAGCGGUGAAAUGCGUAGAUAUAUGGAAGAACACCAGUGGCGAAGGCAGCAGACUGGCCUGAUACUGACGCUGAGGCACGAAAGCGUGGGGAGCAAAUAGGAUUAGAUACCCCAGUAGUC